RNAcentral lists this ribosomal RNA (1683 nucleotides) under Triticum aestivum (bread wheat). Its description in RNAcentral is "partial small subunit ribosomal RNA". Lineage: Eukaryota; Viridiplantae; Streptophyta; Magnoliopsida; Poales; Poaceae. The record is from RNAcentral.
AUGGCACUUGGAGUCUUUGUGAAUUGGAGGGGAAACACCAUCAACAAAGAGGUGCAUGGCGGAGUCAGAGCAGCAUGGUUUUUGUAUGUUCUGACUGUGGUAACAAACGUGGUUAUUGUCCCAAACUUGUUGAAUAUGGUUACUUAUCUCCAUGGAACAAUGCAUAUGGGGGUUUCGGGCUCGGUGACUACAGCUGCUAACUUUUUUGGCGCCACAUCCGGGUUUGCAAUGAUUGGAGCUUUCCUCUCUGACUCCUACAUAACUCGGGCCCGAACCAUGCUCCUCAUCGGUCCAUUUAUGUUUCUGGGAUACGGAUUGCUUGCACUGCAAGCCUACCUACCCUCCCUCCAUCCACCCCCUUGCAAUACUGAAGCAGAGCUAAACAAUUGCAAACAAGUCCAUGGCAAGAACGCUGCCUUGUUGUACGUAGGCUUGUAUCUGAGUGCAGUUGGUGAUGGUUGUAUACGGUCUUGCUUGCCGUCCCUUGGAGCAGACCAAUUUGACCAUGAAGAUCCCAAAGAGUCCCAUCAGCAGUCCAGCUUCUUUAACUGGUAUACCUUCGGAAUCUCUUUUGGAGGUUUCGUAGGGCUGAUUCUCAUAGUGUGGCUCCAGAACUACAAAGGGUGGGAUAUCGCACUAGGGUUGUGUGCCGUCAUAGUUCUGCUCGGAUUGCUCGUAGUUGCUGCUGGUCUCCCUUUCUACCGCAACCAAGUACCACAAGGAAGUCCUUUGACUCGAAUACUGCAGGUUCUUGUGGUUGCAUUUCGCAACAGGAAGACUGAAGUUGGUGAGGGGCUAGAAGCGCAUGAAAUGAGUAUUGAGGUGGGGACAGGUUACAUUGGCUCACUCUCUCAAACAAAUAGUCUGAAAUUUCUCGAUAAAGCUUGCAUCAACCGUGGCAAAAAGGGAGACUGGUCGGUCUGCAGUGUGACCAAGGUGGAGGAGACCAAGAUUGUGCUCCGCUUUCUUCCCAUCUUCAUCAGCUCCGUGAUUGGAUACAUAUCCAACAUCAUCCUCUUCACGUUCACCGUGCAGCAAGGUGGCUUGACCAACACAAGGCUUGGCAAGAUCCACGUUUCUCCGGCGACACUCUUCAUCAUCCCCAUCAUAUUCCAGAUGUUGAUGCUUGCAAUCUAUGAUCAGUUCAUCGUGCCAUUCUUGCGAAGGCGCACGGGCUACAGCGGCGGCAUCACUCACUUGCAGCGCAUCGGCAUAGGCUUUGCCUCCAUGAUACUUGCAUGCAUCAUCGCGGCGGUCGUCGAGAAAAAGAGGAAGGAAGCUACAGUGCAAAUGUCCCUCUUCUGGCUCGCACCUCAGUUCUUCCUGCUCGGCGUCUCGGACGUGACAUCGUUCACUGGCCUCCUUGAGUUCUUCAACAGUGAAGCACCACGGGGUAUGAAGUCGAUCGGCACGGCGUUGUUCUGGUGUGAUCUCGGGCUCGCGCCGUUGAUGGCCACGUUCCUGGUGGAUGCUGUGAACGGGGCGACAAGGCAUGGUCACCGGGUAGGCUGGCUCGAGGGCGCAAGCUUGAACACUAGUCAUCUUGACUGGUUCUACUGGGUUGUGGCUGUCGUCGGAUUGCUCGGCUUCUUCAACUACCUGUACUGGGCCAACAAGUAUGUGUACCAGAACAAUCAACGCGUUGCUAAUGUUGCGCCAACGGUUGAUCAGGACUCGCCUUGA